CCUACGGGCGGCAGCAGUGAGGAAUAUUGGUCAAUGGCCGGAAGGCUGAACCAGCCAUGCCGCGUGAAGGUCAGUGCCCCAUGGGCGUUAAACUUCUUUUGUGCGGGGGCAAUAAUGGUCACGUGUGGCCAGACGAGAGUACCGGACGAAUAAGCAUCGGCUAACUCCGUGCCAGCAGCCGCGGUAAUACGUAGGUGGCCAGCGUUGUCCGGAUUUACUGGGUGUAAAGGGGGGGUAGGCGGGUUGGAAAGUCAGGUGUGAAAUCCUGGGGCUUAACCGCAAAACGGCAUUUGAAACUGUUGAUCUAGAGUGCGGGAGAGGUAGGCGGAAUGCGUGGUGUAGCGGUGAAAUGCGUAGAUAUUACGAGGAACACCGGUGGCGAAGGCGGCAUGCUGG
RNAcentral lists this ribosomal RNA (396 nucleotides) under uncultured bacterium. RNAcentral's name for it is "partial 16S ribosomal RNA". It matches the Rfam family "Bacterial small subunit ribosomal RNA", at positions 338 to 732 of the family's 1533-position model. The record is from RNAcentral.